RNAcentral lists this long non-coding RNA (410 nucleotides) under Anser brachyrhynchus (Pink-footed goose). RNAcentral describes it as "lncRNA (ENSABRG00000004693.1)". Lineage: Eukaryota; Metazoa; Chordata; Aves; Anseriformes; Anatidae. The record is from RNAcentral.
UAAUUGUUAUUUUAAGGAAAUAAAAAUGGGUCAGGAACAAAGGAGUGGCUUAAAACUAGUGGGAGUGUAUUUGCAAUUGGGAGAAGAAACCACAGAACAAAAUGCUCAGGAGAAUACCCCUAAAUUAUUUAAGAACAAAAUAAAGUACUUGAAGCAGCAUGAGAUGAGACCAGAGAGGUUUGCUGGUCUGUGCAUGCAAAUACAGAAGGACUCGUUGAACCACCUACCCAUCAGGAAACUGUACGAGUAGCAAAGAACAUGGCUUUAAUUUUCAUGUCUGGAUUUCUAGAUAUGUAAGAGAAGGCAGUAGGUUUCUUAGACUUCUACUGAAUUUGUUUUAUUUUAUUUUGGGGGUGGCACAAGGGCAGAAAACAAGAAUAAACUUGUAUUACAUACAUCUUAUUUUGACA